RNAcentral lists this RNase P RNA (302 nucleotides) under ANME-2 cluster archaeon. RNAcentral describes it as "Archaeal RNase P". It matches the Rfam family "Archaeal RNase P". From Rfam's summary of the family: Ribonuclease P (RNase P) is a ubiquitous endoribonuclease, found in archaea, bacteria and eukarya as well as chloroplasts and mitochondria. Its best characterised activity is the generation of mature 5'-ends of tRNAs by cleaving the 5'-leader elements of precursor-tRNAs. Lineage: Archaea; Methanobacteriati; Methanobacteriota; Methanomicrobia; Methanosarcinales. The record is from Rfam by way of RNAcentral.
GAGAGAGGAAGAGCAGCCGCCGCGACAGCAAGUCGUGAGGAAAGUCCCUCCACCACUGGACACACGGAUGCCGAAAUGGCAUAGGGCGAGAGUUCUGGCUCUGACACAGAAACGUAACCACGAUUGUGCCAAUGCAAUGAUGCCGGAAGGCUGAGGUCGCAUGUCGUUUGGAUGAAACGGUGAAUCCCCGUGGGUGCAAGUCAACACAGGGCAAAAAGCGCGAGAGCGGAGUCCAGCCGUGCCCGGGUAUGGCGCGUAGUCGAAUGCUGCUAUGAACAGAAGGGGGCUUACUCUCCUCACUC